This 405-nucleotide ribosomal RNA is filed under the name Triticum aestivum (bread wheat). RNAcentral describes it as "partial small subunit ribosomal RNA". The record is from RNAcentral. Lineage: Eukaryota; Viridiplantae; Streptophyta; Magnoliopsida; Poales; Poaceae.
AUGGGUCCGGACCUUGGCGCGCUGCUGCACAAGGUGGAGGCUCUCAUGAACGACGUUGAUGCGCUCGUCGACGCGGUCGCGGCGUUCGUCGACCGGGUCGCGGGUAUGAACGGCAUGGAGGAGGAGGAUGGCUUCGCUGCGUUGCUUGACGCGGUCGUGGAGUUCGUCGGCCGGGUCGCGCGUGUCCGUGCCAUGAAGGAGCGCUUCGCUCGGCCAAGAUCGACAGGGUCUGUGGGCAAUGGCUUUCCUCGGCCAAGAUGGAUGUUGGCCUUGGAUGAAGAAGAAGUGAUAAUAACACCUGAAAUGCUAGGUUCGUGCACGCGCCCUGGUCUUGAUGCAAUGAUGAACUAUAUGAAGAGGCGGCUGGAAGCAAUUGAAAAGAAAAAACAAAAGGAAGAGAUGUGA